UUCUUUCAGUUCAGGGCUGUAUACGCAGGUGCGGAAGUGGGUUUGGGGCAGAGACACUGGCGCACGCGCGCUGCUGAUGUUGGUGAUGAAGAUAGUUUUGUUUUUCUGGGAACGUUCUGAGUGAAGAGUGAAGUCGGCUGCAGCUAGAGCUCCAUCUCUCUGAAGUGGAACACAGAUUAAAAAGUGCCCAAGUUGGCUGGUUUCUGGUUGCUGAGCUUGCUGCUGCAGAUCCCCAUGAUAUUGUUUGAUAGCUGUAACCCGCGGAUCUUGGUACUGCCCCUGGAGUAAGGAACAGCUAUUUAACUGAUCCGCCUGUGGUUCAAGACUGGGUGCUGAACAGCAAUCCCUACAACAGACAAGAAUGUGCAGUAGCAGGAAAUCUGCAAGUGAAAGUGCAGCAAAUCCUAGGCAGCUCAAACAGUAUCUCCAGAGAGAGACAGAGAGAGUGCAAUUUCCAGCUCACUGACCUUCGGUCUUCAAUAAACAGCUGCUCCACAGCUUAUCCUUCUCAAUCCAGGAGAGACAAAUGUUUCUCUUGGUUUGAGUUUGAGUAAAUCUUUUAUUGUAACCCCCUGUAAAAGGCAUUUCCUGGGGUCAGCACAAACGGAACCCCAGGAGUUUAUCAUCUGGGCGUGGACAACCUUGACCGGGUAACUGUACCCACUUCAUCUCCAUCUAAAACAACAUCUUUUAGACCAGAUGGAUAAUGCCUAUUUAACAACUCAAUGUCUCUUGGAUCUUGCCUCCUCUAAGUCUCAUAUUGAAAAUUGUUCAGUUGGAUUCACGAUUAAAACCAGCAGAUUCUCCUCCACCUCCACCUCCACGUCAAACUGAUGCAAUUAAAUAAAAACACACAUACAAGACCAGGGACUUUCCUCCUAGUUUUGACCUCACCAAUCAUCAAGUUAAUCCAGGUCAAUUUCACAACCUGUCUUUUUGAUUUUCUGGCUUCUCACUCACUCCCUUUUUUUUGUAGAUCAAUCACAUAAGGUAUUAGUCAGGAAUAAUUAAGUCAGGAACUUAAACCACAAAUCCCAUCAGGAUCUGACAGAGUAACCCAAUUUCUCAGAACCUGAACACCAACUUGAAUUGUGAACAUGGAAGGCUAUAGCACUGUCACAGUGGAGAUAAACUAUACACGUGCUCUGUGUGUGGGUGAGGAUUCAGGCGACCAUCUGGCCUGUAUACAGACAGGUGCAGUCACAAUAGGGAGAAUGCAUGGAAAUGUGGGGACUGUGGGAAAGAAUUCAAUUAUCCAUCCAAACCAGAAAUUCAUCAGUACACUCACACCAAGGAGAGGCCAUUUGCCUGCUCCCAGUGUGGAAAAGGAUUCACUCAGUCAUCUCACCUGCGAGACACCGGUGAGCUCACACUGUGGAAAGUGCUGUAGAAGUUCUGAUGUCUCAUUAACAUGUUCACCCUGAUGAGAGACCACUCAGGUGCUCCCACUUUAGGAAUGGGUUCAGGUGGUCAGAAACUCUCAGAACACCAACAGACCCAUAUUGACGAGAGCCCAUUCCGCCGCCCUGUGAGAGGACAGGGAAUUCAGUCAGACAUCCACUUCGCUUCGACAUCAACAAAUUCAUAAGUAACUACAGUAAUUGGAUUUUUCAGUUAAUCUGGCACUGACCCAUGGUCAUUGUGUUCUGUUUGUGUUGGGGUUAAUUGAGUCCAGCCCAGUCACAGAUGAUGAUAUUCUGGAUGAACGUGAAAUAAAUUCACUUUGUGUUUAAACAUA
Long non-coding RNA from Rhincodon typus (whale shark), 1738 nucleotides. RefSeq lists it as uncharacterized. The record is from RefSeq and is a predicted model, not a curated record. The transcript is spliced from 3 exons. Lineage: Eukaryota; Metazoa; Chordata; Chondrichthyes; Orectolobiformes; Rhincodontidae.